Molecule: long non-coding RNA, 2766 nt
Filed under: Lynx pardinus (Iberian lynx)
Lineage: Eukaryota; Metazoa; Chordata; Mammalia; Carnivora; Felidae
Source: RNAcentral
UAAGAUGUAUUUAAAUUCUACUUGGAGAGAUUCAUGGUUGAUCAGAACAUAGUAAAAAAACAAAUGUGAAAUGUAGCCCAGACUUUGGAUUUUGUACAAUUGAUAUUCAAAGGAAAAAUCAACAAUGCUGUUAGAUCCGGCUGCCUUAGCUUACACGUGAGUCCUUUUUUUUAGUCGUGUUAUUCAUAUCUUGUGCUUUCUUGGGGAUUCCUCUAUAAUUGGGAUUUUGUUAGCAUUUUCUGGUAUCAAUUUACAUUGACACUGGCUUAGGUAUAGUGGUUUUAUUACUAAAUAAAUUAUGUCUUGCUACUAAUGUAAAAAUAACUUUAAAAAGAUAUAGAGGCACCAUGUCCAGCCGCAGAGGGGGCAGGAAGAAGCCCCUGAAGCAGCCCAAGAAAUAGGCCGAGGAGAUGGUCAACAGAAGGCGUUCAAGCAGGAGCCAAAAGAGGAGCAGAAGAAACUCCAGGAGCUAAAAGGCCAAGACCAGGCCUCAGGGAAGGGCCCCUUGGUCACAGGCAGAAUUAAGAAAUCUGGCAAAAAAGUAAACUGUUCCUUGUGCCUGAGGCAAUGGUAAUCCUUAAUUCCAUUCCUGUUUAAACAUCUGGAUUCCCUGUCAUAACCCUGUUGCUGCCGAUAGCUAGAAUGGAGUGUCUUAGAUCCUGUUGUACAUUUAAGAAUAAACUUUUGUUUUAAAAAAUCAAUCAUUAAAAUAAAAAAGAAAAAAAAUGUAGUAGUCAACAAGAAUAGAUGAUGAGAUGGUGCUCAGAGAUGGCACUGGCCUAAUUUAGGACAUGGUUUCACGAGUGAAACAUGUAGUUUGGACAAAGAGCGAGUCAGUAUUUCCAUAUUUGUUUUUUUCUUGUUCCGGUUAUUUGAUAUUUUAAACUGCUCCAGCCACGGCAUUUUUGAUUGGCUGUAUUAUCUGUUUUGGUAUAGAGCCAUGGUGGUACAUAUAUCUCAGCCAUCUGUGUUACGGUGUCUUAGGUGAACUGAGCAGAAAGCGGUGAUAAGUAUGGGUUAUCAUGACAGAUCUUUGGAAGUUCCUUCCACACACACACUAUAAAAAGUUUUUAAGUCCUAGACCAAGUCUGUCCAAUAGAACUUUUGCAGCAAGGAAAAUAUUCUAUAUCUGUGCUGCCCAACACAGAAGUGACAGGCCACCACGUAGCUACUGAGGUGUGGUUCAUGCAACCGGUUAACUAUAUUUUCUAUUUUAUUUAAUUUUCAUUUCAAUAUCCACAUGUAGCUACUGGCUAUUGUAUUAGACUGCCUAGUCCUAAACAAUAGCUAACAUUCCAGAGUUUAUAGUUGCACUUCAUAGUUCCAAAAGUGUGUCAAGACGAAUUACGUAAUUGUUCUUUUUGUUUAGUCUGUGGUGUUUACAUCUGUCCCAGGCCAACAACUGCUCUUGGCUAGCCCUCUUGGGUAUGGGCUUUAAUUCCACUACCACAAACACAAUACUGUCAUCUGCUUUAUAAAUAAUAAUGCUUAAGAUGCCUGAUAGAAUCUGAUUUUGCAGCCAAAGGAAUCCUUUCCACUAACUACAAAAGAAAUCCUUUUUCUCUCUAGAUAUUGUAAUUGGCAUCUAGUUAGAAUCACUCUAUAUAUAAUCUUGGGAAAUAAACAGCCACUGAUGGUUAACAAGUAGCUCAUAUUGUUAGUAGUUCAUAUUGUACUUGAUAAGCAAUAUUCUGAUUAAUAAUUUUUGUUUGUUCAGAAUUGGCAGUGGAGGCUGAUUUGGGAGGAAAGCUGUGGCCAUAAACAUUGAAGAAGACAAGUGGAUUCUUUGUGACAUUCAGACUUUCUACAAUAGCACAGUGGAGGAAAUGCCAAUGAAUGUGACUGACCUUAUUUAAUUCCUGGGAUGAGAUAGUUUUGAAUGGAGCACGCGCUGUUGUGGAAUAGGUGAUGGUAACAUCCACUGUGCUUCUUUCUUUGGGAAUAUUUGAAGCUCGUCUCAAUGCUCAUAACGGAUCAAAAAUACAGAUUUUGAUGGUAACACUACUCUUACUCGUGAGCCCAUAUGAGGAUGGUCAUUGGUUUUAUCUGCUUCAGAAUUAGAAUAUUGGAGUUGGAUAUGACAGAUGGGGUUGUAACAAUUAUUCUUAGAAAUGUAUUUCCUAGUUCUGUAAAAAUGGUUAUAUUGAGUGUGCUCCAUCAUUUAAUACUAUAUUGUGGACUGGACAAUAUGUGCUGUAUAAAAGCAGCCAAUUGAGGUGCCUAGGUGGCCCACUUGGUUGGGCGUCCAACUUCGGCUCAGGUCAUGAUCUCACAAUUUGUGAGUUCAAGCCCCACAUUGGGCUCUGCGCUGAUGGCCAUUUGUGUUACGAGUUACAUGUGCCAUCAGCACAGAGCCUGGAGCCCACUUCGAGUUCUGUGUCUCUCCUUCUUUCUCUGCCUCUCCCCUGCCCAUGCUCACACUGUGUCUCUCUCUCAAAAAUAAAUAAACUUUAAAAAAAGAAAAGAAAAGAAAAGCAGCCAAUUAUGGGGCGCCUGGCUGGCUCAGUCAGUGGAGCAUGUGACUCUUGAUCUUGAGAUUGUAAAUUUAAGCCCCAGGUUGGAUGUAGAGACUACUUAGAAAUAAAAUCUCUUUUUAAAAAAAGCAUCCAAUUAUAUUAAACUAGUUUAUCUGCUUUUAUUGCGUUAGUCAUUAGACUGAAUAAAACAAACUCGAAAAUGUUUUUUUUUAAUAAAGUAUUUGAUUUCAUUUUGUAUGGUAUUGUGUUUUUACUUUGUAAUGUUACGGCAUCAGGCUGGAAUGCUGGC